Molecule: ribosomal RNA, 475 nt
Filed under: uncultured organism
Description: partial 16S ribosomal RNA
Rfam family: Bacterial small subunit ribosomal RNA
Source: RNAcentral
ACACUCCUACGGGAGGCAGCAGUGGGGAAUUUUGGACAAUGGGCGAAAGCCUGAUCCAGCAAUGCCGCGUGAGUGAAGAAGGCCUUCGGAUUGUAAAGCUCUUUUGUCAGGGAAGAAACGGUGAGAGCUAAUAUCUUUUGCUAAUGACGGUACCUGAAGAAUAAGCACCGGCUAACUGCGUGCCAGCAGCCGCGGUAAUACGUAGGGUGCAAGCGUUAAUCGGAAUUACUGGGCGUAAAGCGUGCGCAGGCGGUUUUGUAAGUCUGAUGUGAAAUCCCCGGGCUCAACCUGGGAAUUGCAUUGGAGACUGCAAGGCUAGAAUCUGGCAGAGGGGGGUAGAAUUCCACGUGUAGCAGUGAAAUGCGUAGAUAUGUGGAGGAACACCGAUGGCGAAGGCAGCCCCCUGGGUCAAGAUUGACGCUCAUGCACGAAAGCGUGGGGAGCAAACAGGAUUAGAUACCCGUGUAGUCCCAUG